Molecule: RNA transcript, 5603 nt
Organism: Oncorhynchus kisutch (coho salmon)
Lineage: Eukaryota; Metazoa; Chordata; Actinopteri; Salmoniformes; Salmonidae
Exons: 4
Source: RefSeq, a predicted model, not a curated record
UUCACCUUCGGAGGUCCUGAGGACUCUAGAGCAGGUUUUCAUUAAGGAUCUCUCUGUACUUUGCUUGGUUCAUCUUUCCCUCGAUCCUGACUAUGAUAUGACAAAUCCUACCAUGGUCAGUGCAGACGCCAGUAGUUAUGGGUUAGGAUGGUCCUACUACAGAAACACAGUGGACAGUUAAAGCCAUUAGCUUAUUGCUCCAGGACUCUCACAGAUGCAAAUAAGCGCCAUGGACAGAUAGAAAAGGAGUGACUGGGCAUAUGAGAAGUUUACCAGAUAUCUGUAUGGCCUAGAUACAUUCACACUGCAGAGUGAUCAAACUUCUUAUUCCACUAAUAAACUGUGAAGACCUUGACUUAGUGCCUGUCAGAUGGUUCAUGCGCAUGAUGUGUUAUAACCCUACAGCCAAGUAUGUGCCGGGGAAACGGCUUGUUAUAGCAUAUACCCUUUCCAGACAUCCCCAGUCAGCCGUUACACAAGAUAUCGCAGGGCUGACCAGUGAAAUCGAGGCCUAUAAGGAUGCAGUUCAUAAGGAUGCAGUUCAUACAGUAAAGGCCUAUCUCAACCAACAAGCUGUACGUCGUCAAGAAGCAGACACAACAAGAUGCAGAGCUGCAGAUGGUGAAAUACUAUGUGACAACAGGAUGGCCUAAGUAUGCUGCCAAAGUGCCAGACAAGGUGCAAGCCUACUACACCCCCCGACAGAACCUCUCAAUGACAAAAGGACUAAUGUUGUAUGGAGAUAGAAUAGUAAUACCACAAAAUAUGAGAACUGAAAUGUUAAAGCGCAUACUCAACAGCCAUCAGGGUGUUGUGAAGGGCCGGGAGCGAGCUAGAGGUAGUGUGUAAGUAAAAACAGGAAAUGGUCAGGAAAUAGUCAGUACAUGCAAAGACUGCCACGAGUCCGAACCUACUCAGAGGAGGGAGCCUCUGAUCACCACUCCACUCCCCAGUCGCCCAUGGGAAAGAGUAGCAGCUGACAUAUGUGAGCUCAACAAGCGAAACUACUUGGUAGUUGUGGAGUAUUUUUCUAGAUGUAUAUAGAAAUAUCUUACCUCAAAGACGUGUCAGGAGAAACUACAAGAGCUAAACUGAAGAACAUCUUCGCCUGUUUAGGAUGCCCAAAUAUUCUAAUUACAGACAAUGCUCCACAGUUCUCAGCUAGAGCUUUCACGCAAUUCUCUAAGGACUAUGCUUUCAGACACAUUACCACCAACCCUCCCUACGCCCAAGCAAAUGGUGAAGCAGAGAGAGCAGUGCAGACAGCCAAAGGGAUCCUGAAACAGGCUGACCCAUUCCUAGCGCUCAUGACCUACAGAGCAACACCACAGCCCAGCACAGCUCCGCACCACAGUUCCCACCCUGGAGGUUAACCUACAACCAGCGUGGCCAGACCUCCAGCAGGUGAGACGUGUCAACCUAUAGAGCAAAGCAGAGCUUCAUGCGUGUCUACAACAACAGGUAUAAAGUCAGAACCCCUUCCAGAACUCCAGCACUGUCACACCCUGAUCUGUUUCACCUGUCUUUGUGCUUGUCUCCACUCCCCCUCCAGGUGUCGCCCAUCUUCCCCAUUAUCCCCUGUGUAUUUAUACCUGUGUUCUCUGUUUGUCUGUUGCCAGUUUGACUUGUUUGUCAAGUCAAUCAGUGUGUUUUGUUGUCAGCUCCUGCUUUUCCCAGUCUCUUUUUCUCGCCCUCCUGGUUUUGACCCUUGCCUGUCCUGACUCUGAGCCCGCCUGUCUGACCACUCUGCCUGCCCCUGAGCCUGCCUGCCGACCUGUACCUUUGUCCCACCUCUGCAUUGUUGACCUCUGCCUGCCUGCUGUCCGGUACCGUUGCCCCACCUCUGGUUUACUGGCCCCUGCCUGCUUGACCUGUCUUUUGCCUGCCCCUGUUGGAAUAUUAAACCAUUGUCAAUUCGACUGCUUCAGUGCUUCCAACAGUGUGACACACCCAGGUCAUACAUGGUCCCGACAGAUACGGGAGUGCUGCGCAGGAAUCCACGCCACCUGAAACCACUCCGCAGUGCUGCAGAGACUUGUCAAAAGGGUGGAGAGGAACACCCAGAGUGUGACACGGAGUUGCACUUACCUAUUCCAGAUGCCCACCACCUGUCACAGAACCAAAGACUCCAGUACACAGGACUUCUUGUGGUACAGUUGUCAAACCACCAGACAGAUAUGGAGAGCAUAACGCACAGCCUGCAUAAUGUGACAGAAGAACCCCACUGCAGCUAUGAAUGUGACUGGCAGUCCACCCAGCUCACUGUACGGUAAUAUAUAGUUAGUGUUGAAGAAACAACAACUGUUUUUAUGGAAUGUUAAGACAGAAAAUGAGUUGAUGUUUCAUGAGUUGUUGAACUUUAAAGACAGAAAAGUUUGUUUAUGAAUUCAUAUGUUGAGGCAAGUUAAUUACAGAGUGAUGAACUAUAAACAUUGUGUUGUGUUGACAUUUUAGAAACAUAUGUAUUGAAAGGGUGAUGUGUUGUAUUGGAACUACUUUAUUAUAGCGCAUGGCACAGGUAUGUUCAUGACGUCAUAUUCAAGGUGAUUGGGCAAGUCGGUCCGCGUGCAUCCGUCGUAACAUUGAAGACAGUCUCCUGUGUUACGUUACUUAUUGUUUCGUUAAAGUCAACCAAAGUGAUAUUCACCUCAAGAUUCUUCUCAUAAAAGCAUAACACUACAGUGACCAUGAUAACAUCAUCCGGUGGUUGAAAUUUCACCCUCAAAACAACAGUUUAAGGUUGAUUACUUUUUUCAUCUCUAAUGUAUUUUCCACAUAGGUUCCAUGUCACGAUUACAUUGACAAGUUACGUUGAAACAAUGUUGAUUCAACCAGUUUGUGCCUAAUGAUCAGAUGUGCUUUUCAGCAUUACAUUUGGAACUUUAUCGGUGUGACGUUGCUGGUAUGUAUAGAGAGAGAGAUAAUUAAAUAAUGUCAGGCAUAUUCCAUUAAGAGACAAAGAAUCCCUGAAAAGUAGAUCCGACUAUACCAAUUGGAAGCAGUGUUCUCUUUGUUAUCCUCAAAACGUUAACACGACUCAAAGGAAUAGGCACAAUAUUGUUAUUCACAAAUCAGAAAACAAGGACGUCCUAUGAAGGUCUACCUAUGAAACACUCAAAAAGUUCAGUUUGCGUGUGGUAUUGUGCCAGGGGUUUUUCCUGUUCAGGCUCACAUUUUCAGGAAAACUCCGGGCCCUAAUGCUUACAACAAGGAUAAUUCAUUACAUUGACACUGCUUGGUAGUUACUCUAGCGCUGUGAUACUGUCUUACAAAACAAGAACCUGUGGGAUGUGCAUUACCAGUGUAGACUGCAGAAAUGACAGUCAUAUUGAAACCCAUCCACCAACAUGGGGGCUGAUGGAGGGUGAGGAGAAUAGGUGUAGAAGCAGGCCUAUUUCCUAAAAUUGCUUUAAAGGCCACCCACCCAAAAAGACUUAUAGGUAAUAAUAUUGACAUUUUUCGGUCCCGCUUCAUAAACCAUGGUACAAAACUGUUUUGAUAUGUGGGCCUUUGGACUGUGUGGGAUGGUGGAAAGUUGUGCUAACAAAAAAGUGGUUAAUGAUUACCACAAUCCUAAAACGUUUAAAGCUCAGUCCGGACACAGAAAGAUCAAACCUAGAAAAAGCACUCAAUUACCAGGUUUCUUUUAGGCCGCAAGUUGAUUUGAAGUAAUUCAGGUAUGUUAGAGGCCAAGGAAGUGUAUUCAUUCUUGCUCUUUGUGAAUGGGUGGUUGGGUCAGCUCUUCACCCCCUGCUCCCAACCAGUCUUCCUAUCUACAAGCAGUCUCAAUACCCGACAGGGGUGGUCAUUGCGUUAUGAAAAACUGGACCUAUACUAUUCAGUCUGGAAAAUAUUAUUUGACAUCACAAGGCAGGCAUGAGCUGCAAACUCUAAUGUGGAGUGGAGAGUGGCUGAACUGCACCCAGUGUAUCCUGCUGCAGGAGAUAGAGCGACACAUGACACCCUCAACAGAUUCAUGCUUUACGGUGAGCCCAGGAGUCAUCAAUGAUUCCAUACUGUGAUGGAAUACCAGGAAUCGAAGCAAAGCUGAGAAUCUAAGAAUUGAGAUACAUACUAUUAUUAAUACAUCACAUUGCUGUUUAAUUAAUUAUUGCAUGCGUACAAUGUACAUAUUACAUUUGAUGUGUUUUAAUUUGUAUAACAAGGACAUUGUAUAGCUGCCCAAAGGGUUAAUGUGCUUAGAGAUGCAAAGAAUAUUUGCAUGUUUGCACUGUGGUCCUCAAUGAAAAUCGUGACAGUGCCUUAUUGGAUAAUAAAGUGGGGAAGGCAUUUCGGACCCAAACAGCUUGUAUAAACAUGGACAGAUUUGGCCAUCUCCCUCAAGAGAAAGGUUUGUGGUUUUGGUACAUAAUCUAACCUAACUAUAGAACAAAUGGACUUGGACCACCAGAGAAAAUAUAUAUUUUCUAAUAUCUAAAAUAGCAUUAUGUCUCAUUGAACUGUUUUAUUUAUAUAUAUAUAUAUAUGUGUAUGUUUCUUUCAGAUAUAUAUAUAUAUAUGUGUAUGUUUCUUUCAGAGCUUUGUCAUUUAAACAAGGCAUAGCACUGAGGCUGCCUGCUAUGUGUUGGAGUCUUCCAUCAAGAUCAUGCUAUGCAUCGAAAUAGGUUUCCUUUUGAGAGUUUAUUAUUAGCGUAUUGCCCACUCUAACUUUGAUCUAACUCAGAAACGUGGAACUAGUUCAAAUGAAGGUCUCUCCUCCUCUCAUUUCCCAUGUGUAAUAGUAUAACAAAUAAACAGAAAAAAAGAACCGCUACUCCAAGUCUAUUCCAAAGUCUCCGAAUGUUUAGAAUAGCACUAAUGACCCAGGCAUAGACGUCUCAGCAUUUUCCAUCGCUCAUUUAAACUUGCAGUGACAUGGCACACAGUUAUCAAGUUUUCGAAGAAGGGCCUAUUUCCAGGCAGAUAUUUCAAUUUCACGCAUUUCUCUUUUUGUGAGGGAUGACUUAACUGUCAUGGUUCACUGAACUGCAUUGUUCCACUCUUUUUGCCUACCUCCAUCAGUGGUGGCUCAUAAUAAUGUCUGGAAUGGAGUCAAUGGAAUGGUAUGAAACACCAUUGACUCCAUUCCAGCCAUUAUUAUGAGCAGUCCUCCCCUCAGCAGCCUCCACUGACCUCUAUCUAAAUACCAUUCAUCAAUUUAGAAAAUAAUCCAGGGCUAGUUUACCGGGGGAGUAGCCUCCCACGCAGUUACACUUACAGUGCAGGGGAAAUUCCCAUGAUGCUGCAGAUGAGGCUCAGAGCACACUGUCGUUCACAACUAGAGUGGUCAUCCACAGUUCUAUUCUUCAUUUGCUGUAAUGUAAUAAUACACAGGGUGACUGAAAGCAGAAACGGUGAAAUUUGCUUUCACCUGUCCUUUUAUUUCUUGUAAGGUUAUUUCUUUGACCUGCAGUUCGAAAUCAAGAAAAUAUGGGUAUAUGAAGGGGUAGACUAGGGAUUUGGGGUGCAUUGGAUACAUUGUACAUGUAAUUUCUAUGGCUUAAAUACUAUAACAUUUGAGACCAGACUCCCAUGUCUGGUCCUAUAAAAACACCUACAGUAAUACACUACAUUGGCAAUAAACCUUUUCCUAUACAAGAGGG